GUGAAGUAGGGGGCAGAAGGCGAGUAAAUCCGUAGUGGGCAGGCGUUGUCCGGAUUUAGUGGGCGUAAAGCGAGCGCAGGCGGUUCCUUAAGUCGGAUGUGAAAGCCCACGGCUCAAACGUGGAAGGUCAUUGGAAACUGGGGAACUUGAGUGCAGAAGAGGAGAGUGGAAUUCCAUGUGUAGCGGUGAAAUGCGGAGAUAUAUGGAGGAACACCAGUGGCGAAGGCGACUCUCUGGUCUGUAACUGACGCUGAGGCUCGAAAGCGUGGGGAGCAAACAGGAUUAGAUACCCUAGUAGUC
RNAcentral lists this ribosomal RNA (300 nucleotides) under uncultured Bhargavaea sp. RNAcentral's name for it is "bacterial SSU rRNA". It matches the Rfam family "Bacterial small subunit ribosomal RNA", at positions 496 to 795 of the family's 1533-position model. The record is from RNAcentral. Lineage: Bacteria; Bacillati; Bacillota; Bacilli; Caryophanales; Caryophanaceae.